RNAcentral lists this ribosomal RNA (497 nucleotides) under uncultured bacterium. RNAcentral's name for it is "partial 16S ribosomal RNA". It matches the Rfam family "Bacterial small subunit ribosomal RNA", at positions 28 to 507 of the family's 1533-position model. The record is from RNAcentral.
GAUGAACGCUGGCGGCGUGCCUAAUACAUGCAAGUCGAGCGAACAGACGAGGAGCUUGCUCCUCUGAUGUUAGCGGCGGACGGGUGAGUAACACGUGGAUAACCUACCUAUAAGACUGGGAUAACUUCGGGAAACCGGAGCUAAUACCGGAUAACAUGUUGAACCGCAUGGUUCAACAGUGAAAGACGGUCUUGCUGUCACUUAUAGAUGGAUCCGCGCCGCAUUAGCUAGUUGGUAAGGUAACGGCUUACCAAGGCAACGAUGCGUAGCCGACCUGAGAGGGUGAUCGGCCACACUGGAACUGAGACACGGUCCAGACUCCUACGGGAGGCAGCAGUAGGGAAUCUUCCGCAAUGGGCGAAAGCCUGACGGAGCAACGCCGCGUGCGUGAAGAAGGUCUUCGGAUCGUAAAACUCUGUUAUUAGGGAAGAACAAAUGUGUAAGUAACUAUGCACGUCUUGACGGUACCUAAUCAGAAAGCCACGGCUAACUACGUG